AGUCUUUCUUGGUUGAAGGAGCUUGAGUCGAACUCGACAAAAGACAAAGUUUGGAAUUUUGUCAAAAGCAAUUGGAAAAUCAUAAAGGAAAGGUUCGAGAAUGCUCCAAUGCUGGAUGAACUUUUGAAGAGCAUCGUAAGAAACUUUCAAACAGAUGACAAGCUGACUGAGGUUAAAGAACUUAUCGGGUCAAUCGACGACAAGGAUUUGUUGAAAGAAGUACUAAAAGAUAGC
Dendronephthya gigantea is the source of this 234-nucleotide long non-coding RNA. RefSeq lists it as uncharacterized. NCBI's taxonomy places the organism in Eukaryota, Metazoa, Cnidaria, Anthozoa, Malacalcyonacea, Nephtheidae. The transcript has 3 exons. The record is from RefSeq and is a predicted model, not a curated record.